Molecule: small RNA, 69 nt
Filed under: Flavobacterium dankookense
Lineage: Bacteria; Pseudomonadati; Bacteroidota; Flavobacteriia; Flavobacteriales; Flavobacteriaceae
Description: Flavobacterium sp. ARSA-19 Flavo-1 RNA
Rfam family: Flavo-1 RNA
Source: Rfam by way of RNAcentral
UUCUAACCCUGAUUGCAGCGAAAAUCUCCCGAUUUUUUUCGGGAAUUGAAGCGGAAAGCAGGAAUUACA